Molecule: ribosomal RNA, 545 nt
Filed under: uncultured bacterium
Lineage: Bacteria
Description: bacterial SSU rRNA
Rfam family: Bacterial small subunit ribosomal RNA
Source: RNAcentral
AGUCAAUAGAACCCGGGUAGUCCAUGCCGUAAACGAUGAUUGCUAGGUGUGGGGGGUCUGACCCCUUCCGUGCCGGAGUUAAACACAAAUAAAGCAAUCCACCUGGGGAGUACGGCCGCAAGGUUGAAACUCAAAGGAAUUGACGGGGGCCCGCACAAGCAGUGGAGUAUGUGGUUUAAUUCGAAAGCAACGCGAAGAACCUUACCAGGUCUUGACAUCCACCGAAUCCUGUAGAGAUACGGGAGUGCCCUUCGGGGAACGGUGAGACAGGUGGUGCAUGGUUGUCGUCAGCUCGUGUCGUGAGAUGUUGGGUUAAGUCCCGCAACGAGCGCAACCCUUGUGAAUAGUUGCUACGAAAGAGCACUCUAUUCAGACCGCCGUUGACAAAACGGAGGAAGGUGGGGAUGACGUCAAAUCAUCAUGCCCCUUAUGACCUGGGCUACACACGUACUACAAUGGCCGUUAACAGAGGGAUGCAAUGCCGCGGGGUGGAGCGAACCCCUAAAAACGGUCUCAGUUCAGAUUGCAGGCUGAAACUCGCCUGC